Molecule: ribosomal RNA, 492 nt
Filed under: uncultured bacterium
Lineage: Bacteria
Description: partial 16S ribosomal RNA
Rfam family: Bacterial small subunit ribosomal RNA
Source: RNAcentral
AGUGAACGCUGGCGGUAGGCCUAACACAUGCAAGUCGAACGGCAGCACAGUAAGAGCUUGCUCUUACGGGUGGCGAGUGGCGGACGGGUGAGGAAUACAGCGGAAUCUACUUUUUCGUGGGGGAUAACGUAGGGAAACUUACGCUAAUACCGCAUACGACCUACGGGUGAAAGCAGGGGAUCUUCGGACCUUGCGCGAUUGAGUGAGCCGAUGUCGGAUUAGCUAGUUGGCGGGGUAAAGGCCCACCAAGGCGACGAUCCGUAGCUGGUCUGAGAGGAUGAAGAGCCACACUGGAACUGAGACACGGUCCAGACUCCUACGGGAGGCAGAAGUGGGGAAUAUUGGACAAUGGGCGCAAGCCUGAUCCAGCCAUACCGCGUGGGUGAAGCAGGCCUUCGGGUUGUAAAGCCCUUUUGUUGGGAAGGAAAAGCAGCAGGUUAAUACCCCGCUGUUCUGACGGUACCCAAAGAAUAAGCACCGGCUAACUUCGUG